CAGCUGAAAAGGAUAGAGUUGUUGACACAGAUCUCUAGAUCCAGAAAAAAUAUCUUCUAGGAAUUAAGGCAAAAUAAAGACAUUCUCAGGCACACUAAGAGAACUUGUUGCUAGCUAGUGUCCUCUGAAAGAAAUGCUACUGGAAGCUCUUCCCAGCUGAAGGAGAUAACAGAAGGACAUGUGGAACUUCAGGAAUGAAGGAAGAGCACAAGAUAUGGUAAUAUGUGGUUGGAUGUAUGGACUGUUUUUCCCAUCUUAAAUUCUUUCAGAUGGCUGUUGAAGCGAGUUUUCAGUGUACCUGGAUGUCAUAUCCAUGACAAGUACAGCAUGCAGGAGUGUGGGUCCUAUGGGAUAAAGAGGGAGCCUGUGGAUGCUUCAAGUGUGUUGCCCAAGUUCCUCCAGGCCCCACGGCUGAACCCAACUCCAGGGACCCCUUAGUCAUAGGAAGAUGCCUCACCCCAGGAAACAUCCCCUUCCCAGCACAUCUGCUUCCAGGGACUGCUCGAUGCCAGGGACGGGGUCUCACUAUGUUCAAGACAGGUUGGCCUCAAACUUCCAGAGUCCUCCUUAGCCUCCCAAGUAGCUGAGACUACAGAUCAUUUCCCAUGAUCAGAGAGAGAGCCCAGGAGGGUGCCGUGGAUGUUCUCAGGUGUUCUAUGCACUAGCAGGGUUCUGGUCAGAUGCAUGUGGCUGAGUUAAGAUGCAAGCAGUUUGAAUCAUUUCAGGACCCCUCAGCACCUUGAAAAGCCUGCUGCAGCCCUUGAAGAGUUUUCUCUCCAGGAGCUCUAGGUGUAAGGAUCCGGCGAAUCGUUGAAGAAAGAGACCACAAGAGACCAGCUUCAUGCAAUGGGCAGGAGGGAGUUUAUUGAAGAGGAUCCUAAUUCAGUGCGCUGAGGCUCAAGGCUCACUCAGGAAGGGA
Molecule: long non-coding RNA, 919 nt
Organism: Ictidomys tridecemlineatus (thirteen-lined ground squirrel)
Lineage: Eukaryota; Metazoa; Chordata; Mammalia; Rodentia; Sciuridae
Source: RefSeq, a predicted model, not a curated record